CAGGCCUAACACAUGCAAGUCGGACGGGAUUUUGGAGCUUGCUUCAAAUGAGAGUGGCGCACGGGUGCGUAACACGUAUGUAACCUACCUUCAUCAGGGGGAUAGCCUCUCGAAAGAGAGAUUAAGACCGCAUAACAUCAUUGAAUAGCAUUGUUUAAUGAUCAAAUAUUUAUAGGAUGAAGAUGGGCAUGCGGAACAUUAGCUAGAUGGCGGGGUAACGGCCCACCAUGGCCACGAUGUUUAGGGGAUCUGAGAGGAUGGCCCCCCACACUGGUACUGAGACACGGACCAGACUCCUACGGGAGGCAGCAGUAAGGAAUAUUGGUCAAUGGGCGGAAGCCUGAACCAGCCAUGCCGCGUGCAGGAAGACGGCCCUACGGGUUGUAAACUGCUUUUGUAC
This 400-nucleotide ribosomal RNA is filed under the name uncultured bacterium. RNAcentral describes it as "bacterial SSU rRNA". It matches the Rfam family "Bacterial small subunit ribosomal RNA", at positions 43 to 441 of the family's 1533-position model. The record is from RNAcentral.